RNAcentral lists this ribosomal RNA (513 nucleotides) under uncultured bacterium. Its description in RNAcentral is "partial 16S ribosomal RNA". It matches the Rfam family "Bacterial small subunit ribosomal RNA", at positions 28 to 523 of the family's 1533-position model. The record is from RNAcentral.
GACGAAUGCUGGCGGCGUGCCUAAUACAUGCAAGUUGAGCGAUGAAGAUUGGUGCUUGCACCAAUUUGAAGAGCAGCGAACGGGUGAGUAACGCGUGGGGAAUCUGCCUUUGAGCGGGGGACAACAUUUGGAAACGAAUGCUAAUACCGCAUAACAACUUUAAACAUAAGUUUUAAGUUUGAAAGAUGCAAUUGCAUCACUCAAAGAUGAUCCCGCGUUGUAUUAGCUAGUUGGUGAGGUAAAGGCUCACCGAGGCGAUGAUACAUAGCCGACCUGAGAGGGCGAUCGGCCACAUUGGGACUGAGACACGGUCCAAACUCCUACGGGAGGCAGCAGUAGGGAAUCUUCGGCAAUGGACGAAAGUCUGACCGAGCAACGCCGCGUGAGUGAAGAAGGUUUUCGGAUCGUAAAACUCUGUUGGUAGAGAAGAACGUUGGUGAGAGUGGAAAGCUCAUCAAGUGACGGUAACUACCCAGAAAGGGACGGCUAACUACGUGCCAGCCGCCGCCGUAA